RNAcentral lists this transfer RNA (71 nucleotides) under Ictidomys tridecemlineatus (thirteen-lined ground squirrel). RNAcentral describes it as "Spermophilus tridecemlineatus (thirteen-lined ground squirrel) tRNA". It matches the Rfam family "tRNA". From Rfam's summary of the family: Transfer RNA (tRNA) molecules are approximately 80 nucleotides in length. The record is from Rfam by way of RNAcentral. Lineage: Eukaryota; Metazoa; Chordata; Mammalia; Rodentia; Sciuridae.
GAUGAUGUAGCUCAGGGGUAGAGCACUUGCCUAGCAGGGGUGAGGUCCUGGGUUCAAUCCCCAACAUCACA